Nephila pilipes (giant wood spider) is the source of this 85-nucleotide non-coding RNA. NCBI's taxonomy places the organism in Eukaryota, Metazoa, Arthropoda, Arachnida, Araneae, Nephilidae. The record is from the annotation of a GenBank genome assembly.
GCCAGGGAUGGCCGAGUGGAUAUGGCGUCAGACUUCUGAUCUGAAUCACAUUCGUGGACGCAGGUUCGAAUCCUGCUCCCGGGCA